Molecule: unclassified non-coding RNA, 330 nt
Filed under: soil metagenome
Description: partial contains 5.8S ribosomal RNA, internal transcribed spacer 2, and large subunit ribosomal RNA
Rfam family: 5.8S ribosomal RNA (bases 1-120)
Source: RNAcentral
GAUGAAGAACGUAGCGAAAUGCGAUAAGUAAUGUGAAUUGCAUAAUUCAGUGAAUCAUCGAAUCUUUGAACGCACAUUGCGCCCCCUGGUAUUCCGGGGGGCAUGCCUGUUCGAGCGUCAUUUCACCACUCAAGCCUCGCUUGGUAUUGGGCAACGCGGUCCGCCGCGUGCCUCAAAUCGACCGGCUGGGUCUUCUGUCCCCUAAGCGUUGUGGAAACUUUCGCUAAAGGGUGUUCGGGAGGCUACGCCGUAAAACAACCCCAUUUCUAAGGUUGACCUCGGAUCAGGUAGGGAUACCCGCUGAACUUAAGCAUAUCAAUAAGCGGAGGA